Molecule: non-coding RNA, 124 nt
Organism: Triticum aestivum (bread wheat)
Lineage: Eukaryota; Viridiplantae; Streptophyta; Magnoliopsida; Poales; Poaceae
Source: Rfam
UACAUACUCCCUCCAUUCGGAAAUACUUGUCGGAGAAAUGGAUGUAUCCAGACGCCUUUUAGUUCUAGAUACUUCCAUUUUACCCAUUUCUCCAACAAGUAUUUUCGGACUGAGGUAGUAAAAA